This is a long non-coding RNA of Oxyura jamaicensis (ruddy duck), 1374 nucleotides long. RefSeq lists it as uncharacterized. NCBI's taxonomy places the organism in Eukaryota, Metazoa, Chordata, Aves, Anseriformes, Anatidae. The record is from RefSeq and is a predicted model, not a curated record. The transcript has 2 exons.
CGGUUUCUUGUCUUGUCCCGUAUAAAUAAUCCUCGCCCCCACAUGCUGCAGUCGGGAUUUGAGCUCCGAAGUUGGCGGCAGUGCGCCUGGCAGCGGCAUCCCAGCUGCAGCUCAGGCUUCUCACAAGCUGAGUUACCGACAACCCUAAUGAAAAGUGGUAGAGCUGCUCGCCUUGCCGGGGGAGUUGCUUGGCCUUCAGUGCUGCCAGCGAGGACAAUACUGGCACGGGGAGCAGUGUGUAAAGCAGCCAGCAGGAAGGCUGGAAUCGGAUUUCCAGGAGAGAGUGACUGCAAAAAGAGAGGCAGAACGGAGAGGGGGCAUGGCGGCUGGCAGGGGGUGGCUGCCGGCUGCGCUGAGUGGGGGCACAGAAGCUCCUCUCAAACCCAGGAAAGCUGUUAGAUUUCCGAAAGAUAUAAUCUCGCAAUUAAGACAUGAUCUUGAGCCACAAUAACCAUGAAUUCAUACAGAGCUGCUGCCUACAUGGUAUUUUUCCACACAGUAAUUACUUUUCUGUAAUAAUUGUAAUAAUUCUGCCAGGGGUAGGGAAACCACUGCUGUCAUUGCUGUAUAGCAGAGAUGCAGUGAGGAAGAUUUUAGGACUUGCCCACUCAGAAGCCCUAGGAGACUGUACUGAACUCUCUCCAGGGCACUCACUUUCCCCAUCAAUGAAAGACAGACAAAUUUGCCACCAAAACCAAGACACUGGGGGUAUUCAGGCACCUUGCAAACCCCAAGCCCACUGCCUGGCUGCAGGGAAUCAUUGACCCAUCAUAAGAUGCCUUUUAGGAUCCAUUUUUUCUAUUUCUCAUUCUUUUAAAUAUUAAAAAAUACCUUCCAAAUAAAUUCCAAGGCCAAAAAAAAAAAAAAAAAUCCCACCACACCACCAAAACAAAAGCAAGAGACCAGCAUGUCAGAAGGCCUCCCGAGAAAAAAGAAGCAAAAGAGAUUUAAGUAUCAGAAGUCAGCAACUACAACAGGAUGAGGGUCUGCUACAAAUAUUUUUAAUGAUAUGCUUUGUCCCUUGCUCUUGAUGAGCAACGUGAGUGGCAAAUUGUCCAUGGCCUCAGGGCACAACCCAGAAUCCCAGGGUUUUUAUUAAACUAAAGACAUUUGUUUUAUUGUUUCUGUCUUGGAGCAGAUGACUGAAAUGCUUGCAGGGCGAUAAACCAAGAGGGAUGACAGCACAGCAGCAAGUAGUCUCCAUCCUGCUCAGCCUUUGGAAAAUCUUUUUUUUUUUUUUUUUUUUUUUUUCUUUCCACUUGUAGACAUCUGAAUGUGUCAUCAGCCACUUAGAAAUUCCACUCUCAAAGUUCAAAAGUCAACCACUUCCCAUUUAAAAUUUAACUCAGUUAUAGACAAUAUUUGUGAAUAAAA